Molecule: ribosomal RNA, 468 nt
Filed under: uncultured bacterium
Lineage: Bacteria
Description: partial 16S ribosomal RNA
Rfam family: Bacterial small subunit ribosomal RNA
Source: RNAcentral
GACGAACGCUGGCGGCGUGCUUAACACAUGCAAGUCGAACGGAAAGGCCCUGCUUUUGUGGGGUGCUCGAGUGGCGAACGGGUGAGUAACACGUGAGUAAACUGCACUUGACUUUGGGAUAACUUCAGGAAACUGGGGCUAAUACCGGAUAGGAGCUCCUGAUGCAUGGUGGGGGUUGGAAAGUUUCGGCGGUUGGGGAUGGACUCGCGGCUUAUCAGCUUGUUGGUGGGGUAGUGGCUUACCAAGGCUUUGACGGGUAGCCGGCCUGAGAGGGUGACCGGCCACAUUGGGACUGAGAUACGGCCCAGACUCCUACGGGAGGCAGCAGUGGGGAAUAUUGCACAAUGGGCGGAAGCCUGAUGCAGCAACGCCGCGUGCGGGAUGACGGCCUUCGGGUUGUAAACCGCUUUCUCCUGUGACGAAGCGUGAGUGACGGUAAUGGGUAAAGAAGCACCGGCUAACUACGUG